AGAGUUUGAUCCUGGCUCAGGACGAACGCUGGCGGCGUGCUUAACACAUGCAAGUCGAACGAUGAAGCCCUUCGGGGUGGAUUAGUGGCGAACGGGUGAGUAACACGUGGGCAAUCUGCCCUUCACUCUGGGACAAGCCCUGGAAACGGGGUCUAAUACCGGAUAACACUCCUGCCUGCAUGGGUGGGGGUUAAAAGCUCCGGCGGUGAAGGAUGAGCCCGCGGCCUAUCAGCUUGUUGGUGAGGUAGUGGCUCACCAAGGCGACGACGGGUAGCCGGCCUGAGAGGGCGACCGGCCACACUGGGACUGAGACACGGCCCAGACUCCUACGGGAGGCAGCAGUGGGGAAUAUUGCACAAUGGGCGAAAGCCUGAUGCAGCGACGCCGCGUGAGGGAUGACGGCCUUCGGGUUGUAAACCUCUUUCAGCAGGGAAGAAGCGAAAGUGACGGUACCUGCAGAAGAAGCGCCGGCUAACUACGUGCCAGCAGCCGCGGUAAUACGUAGGGCGCAAGCGUUGUCCGGAAUUAUUGGGCGUAAAGAGCUCGUAGGCGGCUUGUCACGUCGGGUGUGAAAGCCCGGGGCUUAACCCCGGGUCUGCAUUCGAUACGGGCUAGCUAGAGUGUGGUAGGGGAGAUCGGAAUUCCUGGUGUAGCGGUGAAAUGCGCAGAUAUCAGGAGGAACACCGGUGGCGAAGGCGGAUCUCUGGGCCAUUACUGACGCUGAGGAGCGAAAGCGUGGGGAGCGAACAGGAUUAGAUACCCUGGUAGUCCACGCCGUAAACGGUGGGAACUAGGUGUUGGCGACAUUCCACGUCGUCGGUGCCGCAGCUAACGCAUUAAGUUCCCCGCCUGGGGAGUACGGCCGCAAGGCUAAAACUUAAAGGAAUUGACGG
Molecule: ribosomal RNA, 893 nt
Filed under: uncultured bacterium
Lineage: Bacteria
Description: bacterial SSU rRNA
Rfam family: Bacterial small subunit ribosomal RNA
Source: RNAcentral